This 190-nucleotide small nuclear RNA is filed under the name Castor canadensis (American beaver). Its description in RNAcentral is "U2 spliceosomal RNA (ENSCCNG00000009674.1)". It matches the Rfam family "U2 spliceosomal RNA". Rfam says of the family: U2 is a small nuclear RNA (snRNA) component of the spliceosome (involved in pre-mRNA splicing). The record is from Rfam by way of RNAcentral. Lineage: Eukaryota; Metazoa; Chordata; Mammalia; Rodentia; Castoridae.
AUCUCUUCUUGGCCUUUUGGCUAUGAUCAAGUGUAGUACCUGUUCUUAUCAGUUUAAUAGCUAAUGUGUCCUCUAUCUGAGGACAGCAUAUUAAAUGGAUUUUGGGGUGGGGAGAUGGAGUAGGAGCUUGCCUUGCUCACUCCACACAUUGACCUGGUAUUGUUAGAACCUCCAGGAGGGUGUACCCCUU